Molecule: microRNA, 21 nt
Filed under: Drosophila sechellia
Lineage: Eukaryota; Metazoa; Arthropoda; Insecta; Diptera; Drosophilidae
Description: dse-miR-991-3p
Gene: dse-miR-991-3p
Source: miRBase by way of RNAcentral
UUAAAGUUGAAGUUUGGAAAA